This 422-nucleotide ribosomal RNA is filed under the name uncultured eukaryote. RNAcentral's name for it is "bacterial SSU rRNA". It matches the Rfam family "Eukaryotic small subunit ribosomal RNA", at positions 592 to 1018 of the family's 1831-position model. The record is from RNAcentral.
CAAUAGCGUAUAUUAUAGUUGUUGCAGUUAAAAAGCUCGUAGUUGGACUUCUGAUGUUGGGAUUCGGUCCACCGCAAGGUGAGCACUGAUGUCCUGAUGUCUUCCUCUCGUAGUUGUUUGGCGCACUUGAUUGGGUGCCGAAUGAAUAUGGGACCUUUACUUUGAAAAAUUAGAGUGUUCAAAGCAGGCAUGUUCGCCUGAAUAUUAGUGCAUGGAAUAAUGGAAGAGGACCUCGGUUCUAUUUUGUUGGUUUUCGGAGCUCGAGGUAAUGAUUAAGAGGGACUGACGGGGGCAUUCGUAUUACGGUGUUAGAGGUGAAAUUCUUGGAUCAUCGUAAGACGAACUACUGCGAAAGCAUUUGCCAAGAAUGUUUUCAUUAGUCAAGAACGAAAGUCGGAGGUUCGAAGACGAUCAGAUACCAU